GGAAUAUUGGACAAUGGGCGAAAGCCUGAUCCAGCCAUGCCGCGUGAGUGAUGAAGGCCCUAGGGUUGUAAAGCUCUUUCACCGAUGAAGAUAAUGACGGUAGUCGGAGAAGAAGCCCCGGCUAACUUCGUGCCAGCAGCCGCGGUAAUACGAAGGGGGCUAGCGUUGUUCGGAAUUACUGGGCGUAAAGCGCACGUAGGCGGAUAUUUAAGUUAGGGGUGAAAUCCCAGGGCUCAACCCUGGAACUGCCUCUAAUACUGGAUAUCUAGAGUCCGAGAGAGGUGAGUGGAAUUCCGAGUGUAGAGGUGAAAUUCGUAGAUAUUCGGAGGAACACCAGUGGCGAAGGCGGCUCACUGGCUCGGUACUGACGCUGAGGUGCGAAAGCGUGGGGAGCAA
Molecule: ribosomal RNA, 396 nt
Filed under: uncultured bacterium
Lineage: Bacteria
Description: bacterial SSU rRNA
Rfam family: Bacterial small subunit ribosomal RNA
Source: RNAcentral